This 444-nucleotide ribosomal RNA is filed under the name uncultured bacterium. Its description in RNAcentral is "bacterial SSU rRNA". It matches the Rfam family "Bacterial small subunit ribosomal RNA", at positions 394 to 852 of the family's 1533-position model. The record is from RNAcentral.
ACGCCGUCUGAAGGAAUAAGACCUUCGGGUUGUAAACUUCAAUUAUUAGCGAGGAAGGAUGGGACGGUAUAUAAUGAAUAUGCCCAUGCUAUAUACGUGCCAGCACCCGCGGUAAUAUGUAGGGGGCGCGCGUUUUCUCGAUUUAUUGGGGGUAAAAGGGGUGUAGGCGGGAAUGCAAGUCAGAUGUGAAAUCCAUGGGCUCUCCCCAUGAACCGCAUUUGAAAAUGUGUUUAUUGGGAGAUGGAGAGGCAGGGGGAAUUCGUGUAGUGGCGGGGAAAAGCGUAUAUAUUAGGCGCAACACCAGUGGCGAAGGGGCCUUUCUCAACAUCAACUGACGCUGAUGCGCGAAAGCGCGGGGAGCUCACACGAGUAGAUACCCCGGUAGUCUGCACCGUAAACGAUGAAUAUUAGGUGUGGUGGGACGGACCCCUUCCGGGCCGGAGC